This 460-nucleotide long non-coding RNA is filed under the name Medicago truncatula (barrel medic). RNAcentral's name for it is "long non-coding RNA (MTRU_LNC004081)". The record is from RNAcentral. Lineage: Eukaryota; Viridiplantae; Streptophyta; Magnoliopsida; Fabales; Fabaceae.
UCAAACAGAGCACUGGUCAUCCAGAUUUCCUUCAAGAUAUAUCCUAAAUAUGAUCUAUCUUCUGUAUGCUGUCUUUUGAGCUUUUUAACGAUACUUUCACAAUCACUCUCAAAAACCAUGUUCCUGAGACCACAAUUGACAGCGAGAUGCAUACCAGCAAAGAUAGCGUACGCUUCAGCCGUCUCUGCGUUAUCAAACCCAUUUCUUCCACACGAGGCUGAGACCGAUGCAAGACCUUCUGAAUUUCUGAUGAUGCAUCCCAAACCCCAUCGUCCUGGUACUUGUAAAUUAGCAUCACAGUUGGCUUUAUGUAUGUUCCCCUUCGGUCUUUUCCAUUUAGUGGUUUCGUUGUGAUUAGAUUUUUGUUGUAAUGAAUUGAGGUUGGAAUUGAGCACGGUAGGAGCUGAGGUUUGACACUGGGGCGAAGUUGUUACAUGUGUUAUUUGUAUUGAAAAUUGAG